Molecule: long non-coding RNA, 519 nt
Filed under: Cricetulus griseus (Chinese hamster)
Lineage: Eukaryota; Metazoa; Chordata; Mammalia; Rodentia; Cricetidae
Description: lncRNA (ENSCGRG00015033873.1)
Source: RNAcentral
GUGGGUCCUGAGCACACUUUCUGGAUGAUCAGAUGACAGUUCAAUGGUGCCAUUGCCACUGAAAUGUUAGGUCUCACCACUUCGGAGGAUCUAGGUGAAGGUUCCCAGGAAGGAUCUGUGUGAAUGAGACCUGAGAGUGCUUGGCCACAGACCCACUUUUGUCUUCUCGGUGAGCCACGAAAUACGAUCACUCAUGGAAUGGGAUGAAGUUACCAGGCCCCAGGAAUGGCACCAGUGGAUGAGUGUUGCCUGACUUCAGACUGAUCUUGAGGUGUCAAUGUAAACGUUCCCAACUCAAGGCAAGUAACAACCCACAGUGGUCAUGAAGGAAAACACCGGAACGGAAGCUGGGUCCUACGGCUCGGACUGUCCCACCUUGUUAGACUGGCAAGACAGAAGUGGUAACUGGUUCAGGAACCCUUGCUAGCCUCGAGAAAUCCUGGAAGUAAGCUGUUGGUUAAUACCUUGCACAGAUCACUGCAUGGUGCUCACACAGAUCUACCAGGCUGGGGAUUUCUC